GGGGAGGCCUGCCUUUUGCUUGGAAGGGUGACAAGAGGAGGAGCGUCGGUCACCCCGGGAGGAGGGGGACAAGAUGCGCGAGAGACAGGAAAGGCGGAGAUUUGCAGAAGGGAAAGGAGGAAAUGCUACAUCCAGUGAAUGCCUUUCCCUAGCUGUCUGAAAUGGUGUAGCUCAAAUCCAAAGCACGCAUCUAGGCAUUCACAAGAACUUUGAGGAUCACAGAAAUAUCAUCAUCAUCAUCAUAUCAUCAUCAUCAUCUUAAGGCUAUCUACAUUGAGAGGAAAGGAUGAGUAACAUUGACACAGGAGAAGCAUGGAAGGCCACCUUAAUGCAGUUCAGAACUACAAAAUUUUAUGUUAAGCGUCCUCUUGUAUGAAAGACAGGACUACCAUUCUUACUUUGGAUUAAAAAUAGAUGCUUUUGCCCUAUGAACCUUCAAGCCUCUUUUUCAAACAAACUGAUUUUUCUUUUGAUUAGCUGGAAAGGAAACGGCACAUCCAGGAGGAAUGCACAUCAAAGGGAACUCUCUAAAUGAUGCAGAAAUGCAUAAAACAACAAACAAGGCCAGCAGGGAAGAGAGCGAUGCCAUAAGUGUCUAUGUCUUCAUAUUACAAUGAAAGCCAGCUUGCCGAAGAACUGCAAGAUGAGAACUAAAACUCUUCUUGAGUCUGAUGCUUUGCUAGAAAUUUAAUGAUCAUUCCCUCUGCUGCCAGAGAGAUGCAUAAUGCCCCUCUGAAAGGAAUGGCAGGGCUGUGUAGCUGAACUUUUGCAUUUUCUCCCAAGGAUCAGUCUUACCAUAUCAUUCCAAGGAAUUUUUCUAUGGUGGUUUUCUAUGUGACAUCACUUCCUUUGGAACACACAUGAGCAACCUACUCGUAAUGAUUUUCAAGGAGGGCUUGUGUGAGCCUCAUUCAGCUUUAGAGGCCAAAGCAUUCUAGCUGUGGGACAAUUGGGUCCUGGGGUGGGGGUGGGGGGCUUUUCCCUACCAGCCAUUUUUCAGUAUUGUAUUUCUUUCUUUUCCACACAGGAGAAUAGCAAUAUUAAAUCUCUCUGAGAAGUGGAGUCAUAAUCAUGCUCCUAUCAUAAUCCUGUAUAAACUGAGCCAGGAAUAAACUUCAUUGAAUCCACAGGGGCAUUACUUCUGAACAGAUAUGCAAAAGAUUGGACAGCCAAGUUCAUUAUGAGGGGCAUUAUGUGGAAGAAUACCAUGUUAUGAGCUGCACCCAGUCUACCAUGGUGGAUAAUACUGUAUUCAGAAUGACACACAAAGAUCUAAGGCUACAGGUCCCCAUUUGGGGGAUAAUUGGUUAAUUUAUCACUGCAUGAAAUUGUGACUUCUCGGUCACUAUUGAGAUUGUUCUAGUGCUAAUACUGGUCCUCAGGCGUUUUCGUGAAGAUGUAGGACCUCCAGUGCCACUCCCUGCCUUUUUAGUUUCCACAGACCCUCUAGUUUAUUUCUGGGAAGAGCAAUAUUGCUUUAGCAAACAGAAUGUAAGAGCUGGGGACCAGAGAUAUUGGACUGAAUCCUGUUUCAGUCAAAUGAACUUAAUUGCCACAGAAAUCAUGAGUGGCUCAUCCCCUGGAUGUCAACAGAAUCUAAAUCCUGAUAAUUUAACCUGAAUCCAACCCAUUUUUAAAAAACAUAAAGUGUAACUGGAUUCUUACAGUUGAGGACUCCUUUCAUAACUGCCCCUUUCGCCAAAUGUUUUAGCAUGCCGUUAAUUUGUAAAAUCUCCUUGCCCCAAGACUCGUAAGCAUUCCUCUUCCCUGCUGCUUUAUGCUAUAGCUGUAUUAAAAGAAGAUUCUGGAUAUGAGCUAAAUUCACAGGAGCCAGGAGAGACAAAUCAGCAUAAAAUCUGCCAUUACUAAAGGUAGAACAUGCCUCCAAGCAUGGCUGUCUGAUGAAAGCAAAGGUUACAUAGACUAUUAUUGUAACCUAGAAAGUCUGCACCAUAAAAGGAUCUGACAAUUUUAUGGGUGUUUCCCUUUCCUUGUAUAAAUCUCCCUGUUUUCUUGGCAGAAAAAGUGAACACUCUUGACUCUUCUGGUUUUUAAAAAAGAAGGUAUUCCUGUAUAUUUUCCUCUAGAAUUUUCCAGCUGGAGGAGGUGGGGAGAGUUAUUUAUCCAAAAUGCCCAGUGGCUUCCCCCAUAAAUUUUAUCCUCAUUUUCCCACUAGCAAUUCCAUUCUUCCAGUCUGUACUUCACUGGUGAAUUUAGGGUGACAAACAAUUAAUGGGAUGCACAAGCGUCAAACAAAAGGCAGAAAAGGCACACCGCUGCUGGGAAAGCACGAAGAGUGGAGUAAUGUGAUUAUGGUAAUGAUCAACAAGUCAUCGUCUGCUGCUUUUGUUCACUGUAAUUAACUUCUUGGAAGGGCACGGUGGUUUUCCCUGUGUUCAUCAGCUGGCCCUGUCUUUGUGCCACCCCC
Molecule: long non-coding RNA, 2428 nt
Organism: Python bivittatus (Burmese python)
Lineage: Eukaryota; Metazoa; Chordata; Lepidosauria; Squamata; Pythonidae
Source: RefSeq, a predicted model, not a curated record